This 470-nucleotide long non-coding RNA is filed under the name Homo sapiens (human). RNAcentral's name for it is "HSALNT0339930". Lineage: Eukaryota; Metazoa; Chordata; Mammalia; Primates; Hominidae. The record is from RNAcentral.
AUAACCGAGGCCUUGUCUGCAGAGUAACACACCAGGCCCAAACCCACCGCCCUCGGCAGCCGCCCCACGCGGGCCCUUCCUCGGCAGACUUCCCAACCUCUACUUGAGCCGCAGAGGAAAGUGAGACCCCCUAGGCUCUCCUGAAGCCAGCUCUGGGCCCCUCCCCAAGGAUGCUUUGGGAAGGAGAUAAGGAGGUGAGAUAGAAUCUGGCAGAGACGGAAGAUGAAAAAAAGACCAACGGAAGAAAAGAAAGCAGGAAGGAGCAAAGGAAAGAAGAAAAAAAGAAAGAAGAGAUAAAAGAGGAAGGGAAGACAGGGAAAAGAAGGAAGAAAAGAGAGGCGACUCCUAGCAGCGGCCGAGCUUACAGAGAGAAGGGUGGAGGUGUGUGGUGGAAGGGGAAAGCCGGCCGGCUGGCAAAGCGCUGCGGAGAAAGACACGAGGCUCCUGAGCAGGGAAAGCCGAGGUUGCCA